Molecule: long non-coding RNA, 5232 nt
Filed under: Gossypium barbadense (sea-island cotton)
Lineage: Eukaryota; Viridiplantae; Streptophyta; Magnoliopsida; Malvales; Malvaceae
Description: long non-coding RNA (GBAR_LNC019560)
Source: RNAcentral
UUAUUUCGAAGGCAACAACGGAGGAAUCCACUUCUCGGAGUUGCUGCUGGAAAUUACGAGGGCAAGCCUCGUAAAAGCGGCCGUUUUGGUUGGAGUAGCGAGGGGUUUGGCUCAAUAAGUUGAAGGCGUAUCCCUCGCUACCUUUCCCCCUUGGUGAAGUAGCUCCUUGGCUCAAUGCCCUUAUUUGUUCUUGGCUGGCUUUACGGAACAUUCCCUGUCCCUGCUGCCUUCGAUGGCUUUGCCUCCCACCAAACAGCUCGUCUAGCUGCUCACUUCGUGUCUAAUACGACAAAACAUGAAUGAAUCAAUGAAUAAUUGAAUUUUAUUUAAAAAAACAAAAAAUAAUAAUUAGUUCAAAGAAUAAUACAUUGAAGACAGCCUCAAGAAUUUCACGGCUGAAGAUUCGUAAGUAUGACUGAGGAUUUUCCUGUCCAGCAGGGAAGAAUUUCUGCAGCAAAAUACAGAUAAAAGGGGUUAAUAACUUUAUAUAUUACUAAUAAGUUUCUGAAUGUUUUAAAGGUAAAAUACCUGGAAUUGUCCAGGGUUAUUGACAGGUCGGUGGAGCACUGCUAUGGUUAGCUUUUCCCUGUUGUCUUGGUUGGCCAAGUACACAGUGCUUCCUGCUGGAAUUCUUACUACAACUCCAGGAACUACAUUGUAUGACUCUUUGUUUUCAUGUGUCACGAACGUAAUUGUUCCUCUUCCUGAGAAAGUAAAUAAUUUACCAUGUUUUAGUUAAUGGUGAUAUAUUAUAUAUUUUAAUAAAAGGGAAGAGCAAAAAUAGAGUAUUCACCGUUAGUGACAACGUAAAUUUUCUCCGCGUCACAAUGGUGUGGGAGAACGAAAGUGUUGGGGUUUGCUUCUAAAAUGGCAAUGCGGAACUCGUUGAUGCCCCUAAGUAAAUGAUGUUUGUCAGCAAACCUCUGGAGGACUCUGAAAUUGCCAUGUUCUUCCCUGAAUCGUUCUUGGAACGAUCUGCGAUGGAAGUAGUAAGGGUUGUUCCUUUGUUGUUGCUCUCCUUCGUCACUUUCCUCUUCUUCUUCUUCUCUCCACUUGUUUUCUCUCUCUCCCUUCCAUGGAUCCUCUUGGUACUGUUCCCUGCAUUCCUUCACACAUUGUUGCUUCCGUUCGGGCCUUUGCUCUUGCCAUUGGCAACGCUGUUGACACUCCUUGAAUCGCUUGUCAGGCUGCUGCUGCUGCUGUUUCUCGUAUUGUUCCCUGCAGCUUUGUUCGCAAUGUGGACGCAGCCUUCUUUCUUCCUGUUGGCAGUGUUGUCGGCAAUCCUGGUAUCUCCUCUGAGGAUCUUCUCCGUCACGCUGCUGCUCCUCCUUCAACUGCGUUUCACACCUGUCUUCACACUUGUCUUGCUCCGUUUGUCCACGUGUCUCCAAUUGGCAUCGCUUCCGGCAGUCCUCGUACCUCUGUUGAGGAUCAUCCUCGCUUCUUCUGCCGGGGAAGUCUUUGGCAGAGCAAAGCAAGCCAAAGGAAAGGAAAAGAGAAAAGAGCAAAACUACGAAAACUGACUUGUUCCUCACCAUGAUUACUAUAAGCUCUGUAUUUUUUAGUGCACGAUGGUAAUGGCAAAGACCGGUAAUGUAUUUAUAGAAGGUGGAACUGUGGAAGGUGAUGUUUUUGCAUGCAAAUCUCCAUCAACGUGUUGAAGACAUUGACAUGCAAGGUGACGAGUGUGCAAAUUAAAGAAGACAAAAUAUUUUGAGUCUUUUUUUAUCGAGAUGCCACAUCCCUUCACGUGGUACGGUCAGGGUUCGGACAAGCUUUGUUGCAGAGGGGAAUCAUGGUUGUAUCUGUAACUAGAAGUGGCGAAGUGAUAAUGCUUUGACAGUAGAGUGGUGGACCGAGUUGUCGUUUGUGUCAACUCAGGUGAGUUUAAAGAGUGUAAAAAGUGGGAUGUGGCUGUUUUAUGAGGUGAAUUAGAGACGAGUUGAUGUCCCGAUUCACUGAGUUUUAAGGUUGAGUUGGUUUUUAUCUGCACUUGGGCAGAAUGGAGGACAGCUCAAGUGUACACAUGUUGCUGUGCAUGGUGAUGACUGAUGAGUUGCUUGAGAUAUGAACGAAUUAAGACAUGUACAUAGAUACUAUUUGAAUUUGAUAUAAUCUAAUUGUAUAAAUUCAUGCUACUGAAAUUUAAAAACUAAGAUAACAUGUCACAUGUUUGAAAAAUAAAAAUGAAUUUUAAAUGAAGGCAUGCUUAUACUUGGUUUUUUUUAGUUGGGUGAGAGAAGUUAUGAGUAGAAAUAAAGAUUAUAUUAAAAUAAAUUUUAAAAUUAUUAUUGAAAUUUUAAAUUUAUUCAUUAAAUAUGUUAGAAAAUAUAAUUUGUAAAAAAGAUUAAAUAUUGAUGGCUAAAAAAAACUCAAAAAUAUAAUUAAAGUUAUUUUAACAAAACAUACAAAUGCUAAUAGCCAAAUUUAUGAAAAAGUCAUAAUGGUUUCUUUUAAUAUUACGAGUUCAAUGUCACUUUAACCAUCUCAUGGAGCUAAUCAACCGCGCAAUACAUGAUCAUAAUGCCUACAACGGGGCCUUGCAGACGAAUGGCACCUUACAGACUACCUCGCGAACAGAAUCAACGGUUCACACAACAAAUAUCUCGAUUCACAACACAUCUCCUCAAGACAGAAAUUAUCCCACAUACCACCUAACAUUCUCCUUCAAAUACAAUCACCAAGAUUCACCGUACGGCGCAGCAGCAUCACUAACCACUGACAGCCCUUAUCCACUAACUUUUGCUACGUCCUUACAACACUUCAACCAAACUCACUGCAAAUUACUAUUUAUCAGACAAUUACUAUGUCAUCUCCAACGGCUCCGGUUUUCAACAUGUUUGUAUACCCCCCAAACAGGAAGCGGCGCAGGUACCUCCUUGGCCAAGUUUAUGUCCAUUGGAAGUUACAACCAAUACUCGCAGGUAUCAAACACCUGCAAAACGGGAUCUGAUUAUACGUACAAGAGGAACGAUACCCACUCCAUGCAACAGUCAACAGGUUGGCAUACGUAGCCUGGAACUUGUUUCUUUGACUUGAAGUUUACCAAAAAAAUUAUACCACUUUAACUAUAUAUUAAAAGAAUUUGAUUCACGAUUUGUUUAAAUUUUUUAUAAAUGAGAAUGAGAAUAAAAUUGUUUGAGAUCGAAUUUAACCUUUAAUAUUUACAAUAUAAUGUUUUUAUUACUAGGUCUAGAGGUUGCUGACAAAAUGACUUAUUUAAUUAAAUGUCAUUUUGCUUAGCAAUGCAAGUUCAUUUUCAUUACAAAAAGGAAAUAUUUUCUCUUGAUAUUAUACCACAUCUUGAACAUGAAAGUUAGUGAAAAUUAAACUUGUUUAAUUAAAUCAAUUAUAUAUAUAAGAAAAGAAAGAAAGGCAAAAGUGAUGAAUAAAAAAACUUCAAUGGAGCAUUGGGGAUAAUAAAAGAAAUAUAUAUCUUAAAGCAAGGUUAAUUUUGUAAUAAUAAACACUAGUUAACCCAUUGGAGCAUUUACCUUCGUUGCAUUUGAUAAAACUCACCUCACUGGUGAAAUUCGAGGGGAGCUAAAACCUCCGGUUGGAAUUUUUUUUGUUCAGAAAGUUGUGCAACAGACAAGCAGAUUGGAGGGAUUAUUGUUGUACCCAAAAUAUGUGGGUUUAGACCUAGAGUCAUAACCACCGGCUGAAGUCCAAAUAGCAAUAAAAGGCUCAAGCAAUAAGCAGGCUAGCCAAUUACUAAAUGACCCAUUAAAGGGUUACUUGCUCAUUUAAUGAAAACGAACCUGACCUUACCCCUGUAGAGCUUGAGAGUUGGUAUAAGCAUCCUCCUUAUGUCUUCAUGCAAGAAGCUUUUCAUAAGCUCCAUUCGACUUAAACUCAAGCUGUUGAACAAGAUAGAACGGGGAUCUAACAACCCUAAAAUAGAAUGUAGCUAAUUCACCAAUCAAAUAUAAUGGUUAGAUCUAAACAUGAGAUCGGGUAGCUCCACAAAAAUAUUACAAAAUCCAUAAAUGCUCACUAUCUAACAUUAUAAAAAUUUAUCCUUUCUCAAGAUUGAAAAUUUUGGUAUUAGUAUAAUUUUUAGAGACAUUAACAACAUCAAAUGACAUAAUACUAAUUACUUAAGUACUUAACAUUUUAUUCCUUAACAUAGAAAGACAAAAAAACGCACUCAAAAGUUCAUACAAGUUAUUGCACUACAAAACAAGGGUCUCCUCCUUUACAUAGGUCACCAUUUUUAUUUCAUUACAUGCCUGCUUAAAACUAGAAAAUUUCACAUUAGUCCAUAAACACGAGACUAUGUGAUUAUUAUUGCCUUUAACUCUUUAUUCAGAUGCACGCUGCCUCUGUCGAGACACGAAGUAAGACUCUUGUGGGUUGCUGUUGAAUAUCUCAUCCACCAACCUCGAUGACACCCCAAAGGCCAACUCCUUGGCUUGGCUAUCCCAUUGUCUCACAUGGUUGAUUUUCCCAGCCACGAAGAUCCUCUGGUUAUGGUCUGGGUUAAUGUUCUGGUUGUAAAGACCGAACCCAGUCAUCCUCAGGUUCUGGUUUUGGGAUGCAACGAAUGUAACUGGAAAGUUUGCUGGGACUACAAAUAUGUCUCCACGCGACAACCGGGACCUUAUUUUCCUGUAUUGUCCACUUCUCCUUUCCUCUUCUUGUUCUUGUUCUUCUUCUUCUUCUUCUUCUUCUUCUUCUUCAUAUGAGCUUUGCCUAGGAAGAUGAGGAGAAACCAUUUCAGCGUAUCCAUUUCCUUCGGUAACAAGGAUCACGAAUGUAGCCUUUGAAUUGUAGUGCGGCACAAAGAUUGAUCCCUACAAAAAAAGGAUUUGAUUUUGGUUAGUAUAAUGAUGGAAAUUAGAGGGAAAACAAAGGGUGGUUUGGUUUUAAGUACUUGGUUUAAUUGCAAGGCUGAAACGGUGACAUUGAUGUCCCUGAGUUGCCGGAAUUCACGUGGGCAAGCCUCGAAGAAGCGGCCGUUUUGGUUGGAGUAGCGAGGGGUUUGGCUCAAUAAGUUGAAGGCGAAUCUCUCGCCACUUUUCUCCCUUGGUGAAGUAGCUUCUUGGCUCAAUGCCCUUAUUUGUUCCUGGCUGGCUUUACGGAACAUUCCCUGUCCCUGCUGCCUUCGACGGCUUUGCCUCCCACCAAACAGCUCGUCUAGCUGCUCACUUCGUGUCUAAUACAACACAACAUGAAUGAAUCAAUGAAUAAUCAAGUUUUAUUAAAAAAAAGUUGAUUAAUUAGUUCAAA